This 401-nucleotide ribosomal RNA is filed under the name uncultured bacterium. Its description in RNAcentral is "bacterial SSU rRNA". It matches the Rfam family "Bacterial small subunit ribosomal RNA", at positions 355 to 773 of the family's 1533-position model. The record is from RNAcentral.
UGGGGAAUCUUGGACAAUGGGCGCAAGCCUGAUCCAGCCAUGCCGCGUGAGUGAUGAAGGCCCUAGGGUUGUAAAACUCUUUCGUGGGGGCCGAUAAUGACGGUACCCCAAGAAGAAGCCCCGGCUAACUUCGUGCCAGCAGCCGCGGUAAUACGAAGGGGGCUAGCGUUGUUCGGAUUUACUGGGCGUAAAGCGCGUGUAGGCGGGCUGGAAAGUUGGGGGUGAAAUCCCGAGGCUCAACCUCGGAACUGCCUCCAAAACUUCCAGCCUGGACUCAAGUAGAGGCAAGUGGAAUUGCGAGUGUAGAGGUGAAAUUCGUAGAUAUUCGCGGGAACACCAGUGGCGAAGGCGACUUGCUGGACUUGUAGUGACGCUGAGACGCGAAAGCGUGGGGAGCAAAC